This 427-nucleotide ribosomal RNA is filed under the name uncultured bacterium. Its description in RNAcentral is "bacterial SSU rRNA". It matches the Rfam family "Bacterial small subunit ribosomal RNA", at positions 355 to 774 of the family's 1533-position model. The record is from RNAcentral.
UGGGGAAUAUUGCACAAUGGGCGCAAGCCUGAUGCAGCCAUGCCGCGUGUAUGAAGAAGGCCUUAGGGUUGUAAAGUACUUUCAGCGGGGAGGAAGGUGAUAAGGUUAAUACCCUUAUCAAUUGACGUUACCCGCAGAAGAAGCACCGGCUAACUCCGUGCCAGCAGCCGCGGUAAUACGGAGGGUGCAAGCGUUAAUCGGAAUUACUGGGCGUAAAGCGCACGCAGGCGGUCAAUUAAGUCAGAUGUGAAAGCCCCGAGCUUAACUUGGGAAUUGCAUCUGAAACUGGUUGGCUAGAGUCUUGUAGAGGGGGGUAGAAUUCCACGUGUAGCGGUGAAAUGCGUAGAGAUGUGGAGGAAUACCGGUGGCGAAGGCGGCCCCCUGGACAAAGACUGACGCUCAGGUGCGAAAGCGUGGGGAGCAAACA